Molecule: ribosomal RNA, 478 nt
Filed under: uncultured bacterium
Lineage: Bacteria
Description: partial 16S ribosomal RNA
Rfam family: Bacterial small subunit ribosomal RNA
Source: RNAcentral
GAUGAACGCUGGCGGCGUGCCUAACACAUGCAAGUCGAACGGAGUCCAGCCUUUAAGACCUUCGGGUCAAAGAGGGGAAGACUGAGUGGCGGACGGGUGAGUAACACGUGGGCAACCUGGCUCAUAGAGGGGGAUAACAGAGAGAAAUUUCUGCUAAUACCGCAUAAGCACACACUGCCGCAUGGCAGAGGGUGAAAAGAGAAUCGCUAUGAGAUGGACCCGCGUCUGAUUAGCCAGUUGGCAGGGUAAGAGCCUACCAAAGCGACGAUCAGUAGCCGAUCUGAGAGGAUGAACGGCCACAUUGGGACUGAGACACGGCCCAAACUCCUACGGGAGGCAGCAGUGGGGGAUAUUGCACAAUGGGGGGAACCCUGAUGCAGCGACGCCGCGUGAGUGAAGAAGUAUUUAGGUAUGUAAAGCUCUAUCAGCAGGGAAGAUAAUGACAGUACCUGAAGAAGAAGCCCCGGCUAACUACGUG